RNAcentral lists this ribosomal RNA (772 nucleotides) under Arixyleborus morio. RNAcentral's name for it is "eukaryotic LSU rRNA". It matches the Rfam family "Eukaryotic large subunit ribosomal RNA", at positions 386 to 885 of the family's 3401-position model. The record is from RNAcentral. Lineage: Eukaryota; Metazoa; Arthropoda; Insecta; Coleoptera; Curculionidae.
AGUUCAAGAGUACGUAAAACCGUUUAGGGGUAAACCUGAGAAACCCGAAAGGUCGAAGGGAGAAAUUCAUUCGCGUUUCGACGUAGGCGUCGGACGGGGUCUGAAGCGACGAAACACGUUUUUCGGAACGAAAGUUUUGCGCCCUCCGUCCUUCGAACCGGCGACGAACGCGUGCACUUUUCUCCUGGUAGGACGUCGCGAUCCGUCGAGUGUCGGUCUACGACUUGCGGUGGAGACCGUCCGUCGUUUCGUACGUACGGACGGACCCGUUUGUUCCGGCCGGCUCGCUCGACGGUAUACGUUAAGGUCGGAGGCCGCUCGUGGAGCGUUCGACUCGUCGCAAGCGCGCCAUUUGUCUCGGCACGCGGACUCUGUGCCGCGUCCGAACUCUGGUGACUGUUGGCGACGAUGUUCUCGGACAGACCUCUUUGACACCGAUCGGCGACGCUAUAGCUUUGGGUACUUUCAGGACCCGUCUUGAAACACGGACCAAGGAGUCUAGCAUGUACGCGAGUCAUUGGGACUCGCUAAACCUAAAGGCGUAAUGAAAGUGAAGGUCUUCUUCGCGAAGACCGAGGGAAGACGGACGGUUUGUGAUUUUGAAUCGAUUAAACCACCCUAAAAAGUGGGGCCGUCCUGCAUUCCCGGGGCGUCUCGUUCACAUUGCGUGAAGAGGCGCACCAACAGCGUACACGCUGGGACCCGAAAGAUGGUGAACUAUGCCUGGUCAGGACGAAGUCAGGGGAAACCCUGAUGGAGGUCCGUAGCGAUU